AUUUAGUGACACCUUGGAAGACAUUAAGAAACGAGCCUUAGAUAUUGCAGUGAAAAACAGAAAGUCACUUAUUUCACAUGAAAGGAAAGAACUUGGAAAGGUGCUGAUUGACUUAUCAAAGGAAGAUUUAGUCAAGGGCUUCUCUCAAUGGUAUCAGUUGACAAAUGGACAGCCCCAGAGUUGACUCCUUCACACAUGAUCAACAGCACACUUCAUGUAUAUUUGGAACUUUGAAGGCCGCAAUAAGAUUUUGUAAAUGUUUAUACUUCAAUAACGCUUAACUUAUUUAAUGCAUUACUAUAUUUCUUAAAAUUCUGACUUUUUCAAGGGAUGAAUUUGGCAUCAUCCUGCAUUUAACUUUUAAUGGUAAAGUUUAUAACAGUAAAUGUGUACCUGAGGAGUUCCCCAACUGAUUGACCAAAGACAGGACAAAUUCUGAGGCAGAGUGCUCUGCUUUCCAUAUUCUCAGGCUUUUCUGACCAAGCACUGUUUGUUGCUGCUUAAUUUCCCCUCCCAGCUCUGUUCCCCCACACGAAGUGCCACAGGUAAACCCAGGGUCCAUAUCAUUUUGAAAGCACGUUGACAGGUAUGCUAGUUUUGCUUACAGAAUGUACUUUUUUAGUCUGUAUUGAACCGUCUUUUUCUGGGUGGUGAGACAAAAAAAUCCCUCAUCCCUGCAGCUACAGUGGGGGGGGGGGGGCUCUUCCUUCAAAGAGCAUUUCCUCACAUUUCAUUGAAUCCUGUUCUAAAGGAUCCUCUGAUUGUUUUUUAAUGAUCCAAGGGAUUAAGGAAAGAGGAUGGCUGGCAAAGAGGCAAAUGCACUAGAAUCUAAUCAUUGCCUUCAAUUUUGUACAUAAAACAGACCAUGUUUUGCAUUAUUUAUGCCAAAGAAUCUAAUUCAGAAACUGUCUACAUUACAGAUGUAAUGCGCUUUUAAAGAAUAAACUAACUUAUG
This is a long non-coding RNA of Protobothrops mucrosquamatus (brown spotted pit viper), 955 nucleotides long. RefSeq lists it as uncharacterized. The transcript is spliced from 3 exons. The record is from RefSeq and is a predicted model, not a curated record. Lineage: Eukaryota; Metazoa; Chordata; Lepidosauria; Squamata; Viperidae.